Homo sapiens (human) is the source of this 67-nucleotide microRNA precursor. The record is from Ensembl. NCBI's taxonomy places the organism in Eukaryota, Metazoa, Chordata, Mammalia, Primates, Hominidae.
GUGAGGAGGGGCUGGCAGGGACCCCUCCAAGUUGGGGACGGCAGCCAGCCCCUGCUCACCCCUCGCC